RNAcentral lists this ribosomal RNA (433 nucleotides) under uncultured bacterium. RNAcentral's name for it is "partial 16S ribosomal RNA". It matches the Rfam family "Bacterial small subunit ribosomal RNA", at positions 29 to 507 of the family's 1533-position model. The record is from RNAcentral.
AACGAACGCUGGCGGCAUGCCUAACACAUGCAAGUCGAACGAGACCUUCGGGUCUAGUGGCGCACGGGUGCGUAACGCGUGGGAACCUGCCCUUAGGUUCGGAAUAACUCCCCGAAAGGGGUGCUAAUACCGGAUAAUGUCUUCGGACCAAAGAUUUAUCGCCUUUGGAUGGGCCCGCGUUGGAUUAGCUAGUUGGUAGGGUAAAAGCCUACCAAGGCGACGAUCCAUAGCUGGUCUGAGAGGAUGAUCAGCCACACUGGGACUGAGACACGGCCCAGACUCCUACGGGAGGCAGCAGUGGGGAAUAUUGGACAAUGAGCGAAAGCCUGAUCCAGCAAUGCCGCGUGAGUGAUGAAGGCCUUAGGGUUGUAAAGCUCUUUUACCCGGGAUGAUAAUGACAGUACCGGGAGGAUAAGCUCCGGCUAACUCCGUG